AAGUCGUAACAAGGUUUCCGUAGGUGAACCUGCGGAAGGAUCAUUAAAGAAUUGAAUGGGGAUACAAAUCGAGACUCUCUAGUUUCGUUGUAUUUUCCUUUUAUAUUCAUGCACGCACUACUAUGGUAGUGUUUCUAUUUAGAAUCAUUUUUGUAUAUCAUUUAGUUUUUAUUAUGUAUUCUUGAUUCGGGUUUUCGAAACUUUGAAGAUAGAAUUAAAAAUAACAAAUAACAACUUUCAGCAACGGAUCUCUUGGCUCUC
Molecule: unclassified non-coding RNA, 261 nt
Filed under: fungal sp.
Lineage: Eukaryota; Fungi
Description: partial internal transcribed spacer region
Rfam family: Eukaryotic small subunit ribosomal RNA (bases 1-46)
Source: RNAcentral